Molecule: non-coding RNA, 8853 nt
Organism: Manis javanica (Malayan pangolin)
Lineage: Eukaryota; Metazoa; Chordata; Mammalia; Pholidota; Manidae
Source: RefSeq, a predicted model, not a curated record
GGGAUAAUGACAUAUCUACCAUAUAGUGUUGUUGGGGAUUAUAUGAGUUAAUAUUGAUAGUAAGCAUAUACUUAUUGCUCAGCCCUGUUUGGAUACAGCACAUUAGAAAACAGAAAAGGCAGAGGCCCUGCACCUAAGAUGUAAUCCAGUUGCCACGACACACAUACAAACCAGAGCAUUAACAAUACCAAGUAACACUUGUUCCUGGACUAAGGGCAGAAUUGUGUAUUUAUAUUAUCUGUGGCCCCAACUGACAGAUGUUAAAGUCCUGAGUGCAACAAACAUCCCCUAGAGGGAGAAAUCCCUGGGGCCUAGCCAGCAGUACCUGCGUGCAGCCUUUUCCUUUCUCAGAGCACUCUCAAUCAAACGGCCCCCUUCCCAAAGCCCAGGAUUUUGUUCCCAGCCUCUGUUCCCCACUUAUACCCAUUUUUGGUUAACACUCCAUACAUCUGUAGGAUAGAUAAAAAGUGCCAGCCAGCAUGCACCCCCUCACCUCUCAUCCCCGCCUUUAUCCCCCUCCCACUCCACAAUCUGCUCUAAAAUCCUGCCCCUUUCCAGCUUGCAAUACCUUUGUUUAUCUUGGACUCUGUUUUUUUAAAAAAAAAUCACCCAGGAGGAUAGGGGCAAAAAGAAAGAAAAGGGCAAAAAAAAAAGGCUUUGAAGGGUAUGAGAGAGGGCCAACUCUGGGCCACCCUAAGGUAAUGGAGACAGCUGUGAAAGAGUAAUCACUGAGAAACACCAGCCGGGCCAGCUUCAGGAGGGUGAGCCCGAGAGGUGUAGAUGGAAAAGGUUUUCUGGGAGGAAGGUAGGAGGGAGGGAGGGAAAGAAGUGGGAAGGAACAGAGGAAAGGGCGUGCCUUGCAUGAUGCCUUGUGCUCCCAGCUGUUGACCAAAGUCGACCCCCACCAGGCUGGAGCUAGAGUCUGUCCCAGGCUCUGCUGUGGCCGUGGCCACAUAAGCAACAGGCACUCAAGUGUGACUACCACACAGAUUUAAGAGGCAACGCAGACCCAUGCUUCCCUGGUUCUUACAGAAUUUACAUGCCUUUUGUGGCUUUUACGUUCCCCCGACCCCAGGAUCAGUAUUUUUCUUCAAAGAAAUGUAGUUAUAAAGGACAUUUUGCUGUUUUUCUCCUUUCAGGAUCAAAUUCCCAGUUUGGCCCAUCUCCUACUUGCUUCCCUUUAGGGCACAGCACAGGGGUUUCCUCUAGACCUGGUUCCUACCUGAGGGCCUAGCUUGGCACCUCCCAGCCUGGGAUGCAGCCUCUUCCUGGUUAGACUGUCGGCCUCCUCUCACCUUACCCCUGAGGGUUCCUUCCCCAGUCACAGUCCUUCUCUCAAUAAGACGGCUCUAAGCUCUGACAUCCAAGGUUUGUGACCACUGACACCGAAAAGGGUGGGGACUAAUGCAUUUACACCCAGCACCCCCCUGCUCUAUCUGCAAUCAUCUAUCCCUCCUAUCAAAUCAGUUUCUUUCUCUUUUCAUAUGUCACUCCCACAUUCACAUCUUGCUUUUACAGAGUUCUCCCAUUUCCAGGUGCAAGAAUGAAAUACUCCUUGUCCAGCAUGACACAUGGAAAUGGGAGAAAAACAAACAUGCUCUUCUAAAGUCGGAUUGAGUCAAAUGGGCAGUCAGCCUGCUUCCUCUCCACCCCACACUUUGACAACAGCUAGCUUCAAGGGGGAACUCAGCUGUCAGGUGACCUUUAUUACUGAGCAGAAUCAAAAUGCACUUUCUCUCUGGAGUAUAAAAAAGCAACAGAAAAGCAAAGGGCAAAUCCUUUGCCAGCAUCAUCUGGUUUACACAGGGAAAAAGCAAAUACCAUUAGGAUGGUGUGUCCAUCACUGGCGCCUGCCUAUGCUGGCAGUUGACUCUGUCUUGUGUUUUGGGAUGAAGUUAAACAGCCCUGUGUUUGAAGGUGGACACACUAAUGCCCUGUCAAUUACUAAUCAAGUCUCCUUGCUGGAAAAUCCUGUUUCACAAGUGCCUUGUAGUAGAGGGUGAGGGAAGGGGGAGGCCAUGGAAAACAGGAGUUUUCUAAGGAGGCACAGAAACUGACUAUUCAUUAGGAAGUCAAGGAAACAUUGAAAAGUUUCAAACCAGCUAGAAAGGGCUGCCUUUGAAUAGUAAUGGGCUUAAGAAUGACAGGGACAGGUCAAAAGGACACAGGAACCAACCCAUAUAGGUUCUACUGGCCAAAUCUGGAACUGGAGCACCAAAAUAAACACUAGUGAUAAAAAGGAUUGCAAUCCACUGAAUGAAACAAGGAUAUAUGAAUCCACACUGUUACAAUUAUAAAAAAAGGGAGAGCUUUGCUACCAUACAAGGAACUAGAAAAAUGACCAAUGGACAACCAUCAUAACAAUAGUUGAUUCGAGCAAGAAUUAUCAAUGGAUGCUGAGACUAGUGGGUCAAAGUUUGAGGAGAACGGGACAGUUAGUUUCCAAGUAUUUCCCCAUCAUAUGCUUCGGGGCAAAACAGUGUCUUUGUAGCUGAGAAACCUGGCACAGAGCACCUGGAUCAAACGGUCAAAGGUAAGAUUCCAGGAAGGGGACUAACCCAGAGCAUGUGCCCUGAUGAUGCCCUCAGCUCAGCUGCACUUCUCUGAGCUUCCUGCUGAAUGAGCAGAACCGAGUUUGAAGCCUAGAGCCACACUGGUCAAGCCCAAGUUGAGGAGAUACUCUGCAGAACUACUGGAGCGAGCCCCGGGAGGAAAUCACCGCCGCUGCCUAGAAAGCUGCUCGCGGGCAAAGGCCCCGGAGCGGAGCUCGCCAGAACCCGCCGGCCGCCUGGAUGCAGCUGUCGUUCUGAGGACGUCCUGGGGACCAUUCCUCCAUCCCCAGCCCGCGGCGCCGGAGCUCUGGAGCGAAGCCACGGCUCCUGCCGUAGUCUGCCCCCCUCCAGGGAGGGGGCGGGCGCCGGUCCGUCGGCGGCCAGUGGGCGGCUGUCCGCCGCCUCUCCCAGCACGAGCUCCUCGCAGGCGGCGCCCGACCCCGGGCAGCGGCGGCGCGUGCGGAGCCCUUCUCGCUUGUCACUCAAAACGAAGCACUGCCCGGUGAGUGACGGUGACGACGGGUUUGUCUAAGUUAUUCCAGCCUAAGGUUACCCCUCUCCGAGACCAGUUCUCACACUACCCGGUGGUCCCGAGUGACGAGACAGGCCCACCGGCUGAGCGAGAUGGCGGGGACCCCGGCUCCUCCUCCCCGGCCUGGGAACCAGCAAAACCUCUGUUAAGCCAUUGGCAAGGAUCCACGAAGUUCUUCUUCAAGGGUCCUCCUGGUCAGUGAGCUUUAAAAGCAGCUGCUGGGAAGCGGUUUCGGUUUAUGGAAUUUGGAGUUCGUGGAAGAGAGUAACGAUAAAAUUAAACACACAUCAGCUCUGUUUGAAAAGCCAACUGGCUAAUGUUUAGAAAACAGUUGGGAUUGAAAGUAACCUUGUCAACAGGUGAAGUCAACAAACAUUUAGGGAGUUGCUUCUGGAUUUAGAGCACCUGGGUUCAAGAGGAAUGAAUAAAAAUAACUACCAGGCAUUCUGGAAGAAAUGGGAGACCGCCUGCCCAACUUCACAGGCAGUACCGAAUAGAUGUAGUAAUUAGUCUUCUGUCCUUGGGACAGAUGUUUCAUGAAUGGUCACAGUCAUCACACAGCAUCUUCACUGACUCCACAACUCACCACUGAACCCUUGGUAUGUACCAGGCACUGUGCUAGGUUCUGGGAAACAAUGGCAUCCUGGGUGCUCCCUGAGAGAACUGAGUCAUGAGUGUGAAUGUGUGUGUGUGUGUGUGUGUGUGUGUGUGUGUCUGUGUGUGCAUGUGCAUGUGUGUGCAUUGAGCUUGGGUAAAGGUGUGGAGCAGGAUGGAAUUUAUAUAGACACUGGGAGUAUUUCAUCCUACUGCACCGGCAUUCAGUUCAGUGGUUAGAGGAGUGUGGGGCCAGAGCUGUGGGUUGCAAUUCUACCUCUAGAAUUAUUAGCUUUAGUAGCACUUACUAGCUUGGCAACAUCUACGCAAAUUUCUCAGCUUCUGUGAGCUGCAGAUGGCUAAUCUGCAAAAUGGGAAUGAUACAGUGCCUGCUAGUCAGGAUUGGUUUGAACAUUAAUGAUAAAAGUAUGUAAGGCAUUUGCUUUAAUGUCUGGCAUACUGCCAGUACUUCUGAAUGAAUGUAAUGUAGUUAACAUUUGAGGAUUUAUUAUGUAUCAAAUACUGCUUUAGGAAUUUUUUUCUAUUCAUUCAUUUCAGCUUUACAAUACUUCUUUAAAGUGAGAACCAGUAUUUCAUAGAUAAGUAAAUGGAGGUAGAAGUUAGAAAAUGGUAUAGUAUAGCUAUUAUAAAUGCUGUUAUAAUUUUUAUUAGUAGUAGUAUUUCCUGGCUUCUGUCUUGGUAGGUUCUAUUGUUUUCUGAGUCCACCGAUUACGCAAUAAGAAACAGCCUGUGAUACAGUAACUUUUGCAGAAGGGAACGAUCUUGAACCGUGACAGAAUUUUAAGGUGUAAUUUCAGGGAUUGACCACCAGAUGGAAGUAUACAGCGGUUAUUUAAUUUCAAGGGAAGGACUUGGAUUGGCACAGGCGUCAGAAAUGAGAUUUGGCAAACACAGGGUAGGUGCUUUGUCUUGAGGCAAUGUUAAGGAGUAGGUGAUGUGGUAAAUAUUCCAAACAGUUAUUGUCACGUCUAAGUCCUGGUGGCCAUGGCGCCACCAUAUGGCAGGGCCUCCUCCAGCUCUGGCCAGGCGUAAAGUUUAUUCUUGUACAGAACAUGGUGGGGUCAAGGUCAAAAGGCUCCUGCAAUUCUAUAGAGGCCUCUGGUGACACAAUGACUGCUCACCAAACCCACAAACAGGAGGGUCUGGUUUGCUUUCUCCCACCUGUUAUGUCUGGACAACAAUUUUAUGGAAGAGGCUGGGGGAAGAAAGAGCCUGUGGGGUGGAGAGGGGUCCAGUUCCUCCCCCAGCUUAGAUAUGCUGUCCGUUUGGCUGCUGUUGGAGCCCCACCUUCCAGAUGAGGGCAUGUGGCCAUGAACUGAGAGAUAAAGGCAAGUGACAAAAAUACAUAUAGACCAAGGUUUUUGGGGAAGAAGCUCAUUUUUAUUUAAAGUAAAUUCAGUGUAUCGUGUGCUUGAAAAGCCAAAAUUUUCAUGAAUUAUUAGAAUUAAACAAAAGGCAUUACAGAAAUUUUGAGUUCUGUUAAUAGCUUGUGGUCAGCCCUCUAGAUACCUCACCAGUUACCUGGUCCUCCUGUGCCCCUGGUGGGAACUGUUUUAGGGAAAAUGCUUGAGAAGCUGCGCCCCUUUCCUCUGCCCUGUUAACUCUGGGAGUAAGCUCUUGUCUGGAGCAGGCGAGGUACAAUCCAUUAUUUAUUGAGUAAAGAUGGGUGUGUGCGUGCCAGGGAUCCUGGCAGACGUACUGAGGAGCAGAGGGCAUGGAGUGUAUGGAAUGAAUCUCCCUGGGUCUGAGUGGGGCCUGAUAGCCUGCAUUUCUAAUAGCUCCCAGGAGAUGCUGCUACUGCCUGGGGACCACACUUUGAGAACCACUGCUUUACUGCGGUAAGGAGGUCACGGCAGUCCAGGCCUCUUUGCUUUGCUGUGCUGCUGCUGGGUUGAGGGGAGGACUAACAUCCUAAGACCACUUGUGGCUUGGGGAGAUCCUGGCAAAUAGCAAGGUAGCUACUAUCACCACUGGCCCCUUUCGGUGACAAAAGAUGUGGCCCAAACCAAGUUGGCCAGAAUAUAAUUUUAUGCUGGUCAGAACAUGAUUUGGUCAGAAACUAAAACCUGUAGUCACUGUCCUCAAUCCCAUUUCUAACAGUACAGUUUUCCCAUCCUCUUAAAGUUUCCAAAAAUUGUGUUUAGUUUGUAGAAUUUGCUUUAAAACACUUUCUAGUUUAUGUUCAGUCUUUUAUCCUUCUCUGUUAGGGGUUGUCAUAAGGAAAAGUUAAAAUAACCAAUGUCUAGUAAGACAGGAUCAAUCUGAACAACCUAAGAGCUUGCUAGGUGGGGCACAGUGGAACAACCUAAGGCAUCACGCUGGUCCACUGCCUGUCUGUUCUCAGAUCAGCCUUCUCUUGCUCAGUUCCCCAGGGCAUCAUAAUGCUGAGGAACCCCUGCUCUCUGGAUGCAGGAGAUCCCACCGAUGGAAGGUGCUGGUAUUAGACUAGAGGGGGAAGAUGGGAAAAGCCAGCAUUCCUACCCUUCUCCCUGCUUUGGACAGUGUCUGGUCCAUCCUGGGAGUGGCUGUAUCUCCUCUGCCAGCAGCCCUGCCCUCCCUGGUGCUAUGGUGCCUCAGCAUGGCCUAAGCAGCUGGUUCUGUCUCACCCUAGGAUGGUGACAUCCUGCCCUGACCAGCUCUGCAUUGCCUCACUAUCUCCUGUGGUUUCCCAGCUCUUCUAAUACCUGCCUAACCCUACAUGCAGGCUAUAACUUCCCUCUGUUUGAAAGGAGGAAUUCCCAUUUCUGAUUGGACCUUGCCUAAUACAAACAAUAUCCUGGCCAAAGACUUUCUAGCUAAGUUACUACAUAACAUACAUCAGUGUUGGAAUUGAUAUUGGCAAAAAUUGGUAUAUAUAAUGUGCAUGUUGCUGCCUGCUGCAUGCCUGACGUAGGCAGGUCAUGGGGGGGUGGGAUGGGAGGAUGUCAACAGUGGUUGGGGAAGCCCUCUGUCAUCCUCAUCCAGUCCUUUUCCCUUUCCACCCAAAACUGGUCUGCUUGCUAUGCAGUGUAACUUCCAGACAGGUCUCCUAUCUUGCCUUCCAAGCCCCUAAACCCUUCCUGUAUAUAUUCUAAAAUUACCACCAGAGCAAGUAUAGAGGACAUAAGGACCUUCACACCAUUUUCAGUAUCUCAUGAAAAUGCUCAGGAUCAUUAAUGGAUGUGAUUAACAGUGGUUAACAAAUAAAUUUCAGUGUUCUUCAUGUCUGCUAAGAUGCAGAAGAUAUUCCCUAUUAUUAGCAUAGGUGGCAGGCCACAUUAAUUCAUUCCCUAUUAUCAAGCUAGCGCCAGGAAGUUAAUUUUUAAUAUGCCCCUAAAUGCUUCACUGAGGCUCCAAUUCAACAGUUGAAGAUGAAUACCUAAACCCUUGGAGGUGGUAAUGCAGAUGUCACCACGUGCUCAUCAGUGUGCUUCUGAAGUAUGUGUUGGGGAAGUCGUGCAAAUUAAAACAGCACUGAAGAGAAAGUGGCCUAUAACACCCUACAUACAGCUCAACUCCUCACACACAUAAUCUCAGUUACAAUGACAGAUUUCAUCAAUGAUAUGGGAUUAGACGUUUUCCCCAAAUUCUGCCUGGGUAGAAUCUUGUUCACUGAUGAACCAACAGACUGUCACUGAAAAUCAAACGAAGCCCGUGGUUCAGGGCUCAUCACACGGCACCUGAAGAUGCGGGCCAGGCCAUGACCUUUCGGAUGGCUUUUAGUCUCCGGGAAUAGGAGCAAGUGUACUUUGGUGAAUCCUUAGAUAAUGCGAACAUAGUUUAUUUGAGAAGAUUUUUAAAAUCUGAAAUGAAGAUGAUGUGUCUUCACUUAGCACAUGCAGUUCUAUGCCUUUGUCUGUGGGAGUCAGCAACCUCCUUCCAUCACGCUUCUGAUGGUCAUGGCAACAGCGUCACCUGAUAAAACGGCUCAGCCUGUUGGGCUGACCUACCUGACACUGGUUCAAGUUACAGAGGGAGCUCAGCAUCCCUCUUUAGUAGGGUCUCUGCUUAAAAACACCAGAAACACCUGUGGCCUUGGUACAUGAUCACUUUCAUUUUUACUGACAUGUUACCAGAAGGAGUGGUCGAACCACAUGUAUACAAUCACAUGGUUUCAAAGAGGAGGAAGAACUUAAAACUCCAGUAUACAGAAGACAGUCGAGAGCUGUAACUAAGGGAGAGGGCUCUGGAGUUAAAACCUGGAUUGGCUUGUUCUAAAUAAAUGUGUGAUCCUAAGAGGCUUAACUUCUCAGUUUUACCAGCCAGUAGAUGGGGAAAACAGUAACACUUAACCUCGCAGGGCUUCUGUGAGGGUCACAUGAUUUAAACAUGUCAUGGGCCUGGCAAAGCAUACCUGACAAGUAAUAGGUUCUUAAUAAAUGUUGACUGCUCUCUUAUUGAUGGUCAUUGUCUGGGAUAUUCUUUAACCACUGGGUGCUAGUCACUCUCUUUCCUGAAUUACUGCAACAUCCUGUCAUCUGUACCCACCUGUGUCUCCUGAUAUGUUUGCCACAUGGGAGGCACAUGAGCUUUCUAGGACACGACUCUGAAUCAUAUCAUUCCUCCUGCCUAAAACUUCUCACAGGUGCCCAACGUCCUCAGGAUAUUUAAUAACAUAUAAUCAUGAAGAUGAUGACUAAAAAUAUCAAACUUACACAGAGCUUCCUAUGCACCAGGCAUUAAUCUACGUGCUUUAUAUGUGCAGUCAGGCCUCUUUAUUCGUAGAUUCCAUAGCUGUGAAUUCAUCUACUUGCUAAAAUCUAUUUAUAGUCCCCAAAUUAAUACUCACUGUGCUUUUGUAGUCAUUUGUGGGCAUGUGUGGAGUGGCAACAUGUUUGAGUUGCCUGUUGUGCACGUUUCUACCUCACCUCAAACAAGGCAACAUGCUGGCUUCUGUGCCAGCUCUCAUUGUAAAUCCUCCAGCAUGAAGCCGGAGCUGGCUCAUGCUUCAUCUCACAGGUUUUAAAAUUGUAUCCCCAAACAACAAAAGUUAGAAGGAAAGCACAGAAUUCUGCUUUAACCUGAAUGAGCCAGAAAGAAAAAGACAUUGGGGAUUGCUCCUUCUACUGGUUUUAAUGCUUUAGGUAAUAAAAACUAUACUGAAAGACUGAGUAAUAGAAAAUUUAAUAGAAAGUGGAGAGAAUAGAUUAUUUUCCCAAGGCAGAAGAAGGAAAA